UGCUCUUCAUGGACUAUGGCACUG
RNAcentral lists this unclassified non-coding RNA (24 nucleotides) under Mus musculus (house mouse). Its description in RNAcentral is "oocyte_clustered_small_RNA10901". The record is from RNAcentral. Lineage: Eukaryota; Metazoa; Chordata; Mammalia; Rodentia; Muridae.